AUUGAACGCUGGCGGCAUGCCUUACACAUGCAAGUCGAACGGUAACGCGGGGCAACCUGGCGACGAGUGGCGAACGGGUGAGUAAUGCAUCGGAACGUGCCCAGUAGUGGGGGAUAGCCCGGCGAAAGCCGGAUUAAUACCGCAUACGACCUACGGGUGAAAGGGGGGGAUCGCAAGACCUCUCGCUAUUGGAGCGGCCGAUGUCAGAUUAGGUAGUUGGUGGGGUAAAGGCCUACCAAGCCUACGACCUGUAGCUGGUCUGAGAGGACGACCAGCCACACUGGGACUGAGACACGGCCCAGACUCCUACGGGAGGCAGCAGUGGGGAAUUUUGGACAAUGGGCGCAAGCCUGAUCCAGCCAUGCCGCGUGCGGGAAGAAGGCCUUCGGGUUGUAAACCGCUUUUGUCAGGGAAGAAACGCUCUGGACUAAUACUCUGGGGUAAUGACGGUACCUGAAGAAUAAGCACCGGCUAACUACGUGCCAGCCGCCGCGGUAA
Molecule: ribosomal RNA, 498 nt
Filed under: uncultured bacterium
Lineage: Bacteria
Description: partial 16S ribosomal RNA
Rfam family: Bacterial small subunit ribosomal RNA
Source: RNAcentral